CGUACCCAUGCCGAACACGACCGUUAAGACCUCCAGCGCCGAUAAUACUUGGAGCGCGAGUUCCUGGGAAGGUAGGACGUUGCCAGGC
This 88-nucleotide ribosomal RNA is filed under the name Paenalicyclobacillus ferrooxydans. Lineage: Bacteria; Bacillati; Bacillota; Bacilli; Caryophanales; Alicyclobacillaceae. The record is from RNAcentral.